UGUCAUAAAUAAAUUUAUAAAAUAGUAGCUGAGUUGUGUUGUUAUGUUUGUGAAUGUAAUAUCUGGCUAGGCAAGAUUCAGUUCGGCUUCGUUCUUGUUGUUUUAGCUCUGAAACAAGUGGAACUGCUCCAUAUUAUUGACGUUGUCAGACGCUGAUAGCAAUCCAAAUUAUCAAGAAGACGAAACGGAAGAUUACUCAAAAAUAAAUUUGGAGGAUUAUGGAUGCGACCUAAAACCAGGCUUUUUGUGACGAAGAUCGCCUGGGAAAUAAAGAAGACAUUUUUCAUCGUCGUAUCGAACAUGGGGGACGAUUUAUUACUUAUUGUACUGAAUUUUAUUUUUAAAAUGCACCCUCUAAAUCCUGAUUGACACUUGCUUGCGUUCGCGUCUGCGUCGUGAAGUAAGCAUGCGCAGUACCGGCUUCUUUAAGAGGAACGCAAGAGUGAAGCAAGAAGAACGCAAGCCGUUCACACACAAAAACUUAAGCAAUAUGGAUAGUGAAGAAGCACUGAUUUUUAAUAAAAAAAAGUACAUCAACAUUAUUGGAAUAUGCUUUGUAGAGAAUAGAUUCAACAUUCAAUUUUUUCGGGAAAUUUCAUGAAUGGUAAAAUUAUGUAUUUUAAAAACGUUUUUGCUUUGACAUCAUGAAAAUAUGCCGCAAGAGCAACACAACGACGCACGAUAUAAAAAAAAAUUGAUAUUUUUGCGUCGUUGCGUCGCUCUUGCGCCACUUAUUCAUUCAUGUUCACACGGUGCGCAAGAUUGACGCAGACGCAGCACAGACGCAAGUAAGUGUGAAUCAGGCUGAAGAUAGAGGCUUUUUAAGUGAGCCAUUGUUUUAAAAUACAUUUUUUGAUAAUAGCUAUACACUGUUAUUUUGAAACUGUAGAAAACUUAUUUUUCACAAAUUAUAUGUUGAAUAGAACGUA
Hydractinia symbiolongicarpus is the source of this 929-nucleotide long non-coding RNA. RefSeq lists it as uncharacterized. Lineage: Eukaryota; Metazoa; Cnidaria; Hydrozoa; Anthoathecata; Hydractiniidae. The record is from RefSeq and is a predicted model, not a curated record. The transcript has 4 exons.